AACGCGAAGAACCUUACCCACUCUUGACAUCCAGAGAACUUUCCAGAGAUGGAUUGGUGCCUUCGGGAACUCUGAGACAGGUGCUGCAUGGCUGUCGUCAGCUCGUGUUGUGAAAUGUUGGGUUAAGUCCCGCAACGAGCGCAACCCUUAUCCUUUGUUGCCAGCGGUCCGGCCGGGAACUCAAAGGAGACUGCCAGUGAUAAACUGGAGGAAGGUGGGGAUGACGUCAAGUCAUCAUGGCCCUUACGAGUAGGGCUACACACGUGCUACAAUGGCGCAUACAAAGAGAAGCGACCUCGCGAGAGCAAGCGGACCUCAUAAAGUGCGUCGUAGUCCGGAUUGGAGUCUGCAACUCGACUCCAUGAAGUCGGAAUCCCUAGUAAUCGUAGAUCAGAAUGCUACGGUGAAUACGUUCCCGGGCCUUGUACACACCG
RNAcentral lists this ribosomal RNA (434 nucleotides) under uncultured bacterium. Its description in RNAcentral is "bacterial SSU rRNA". It matches the Rfam family "Bacterial small subunit ribosomal RNA", at positions 958 to 1392 of the family's 1533-position model. The record is from RNAcentral.